RNAcentral lists this ribosomal RNA (484 nucleotides) under uncultured bacterium. RNAcentral's name for it is "partial 16S ribosomal RNA". It matches the Rfam family "Bacterial small subunit ribosomal RNA", at positions 30 to 507 of the family's 1533-position model. The record is from RNAcentral.
AUUGAACGCUGGCGGCAGGCCUAACACAUGCAAGUCGAGCGGAUGAAGGGAGCUUGCUCCUGGAUUCAGCGGCGGACGGGUGAGUAAUGCCUAGGAAUCUGCCUGGUAGUGGGGGAUAACGUCCGGAAACGGGCGCUAAUACCGCAUACGUCCUGAGGGAGAAAGUGGGGGAUCUUCGGACCUCACGCUAUCAGAUGAGCCUAGGUCGGAUUAGCUAGUUGGCGGGGUAAAGGCCUACCAAGGCGACGAUCCGUAACUGGUCUGAGAGGAUGAUCAGUCACACUGGAACUGAGACACGGUCCAGACUCCUACGGGAGGCAGCAGUGGGGAAUAUUGGACAAUGGGCGAAAGCCUGAUCCAGCCAUGCCGCGUGUGUGAAGAAGGUCUUCGGAUUGUAAAGCACUUUAAGUUGGGAGGAAGGGCAGUAAGUUAAUACCUUGCUGUUUUGACGUUACCAACAGAAUAGGCACCGGCUAACUUCGUG